Long non-coding RNA from Aedes albopictus (Asian tiger mosquito), 986 nucleotides. RefSeq lists it as uncharacterized. Lineage: Eukaryota; Metazoa; Arthropoda; Insecta; Diptera; Culicidae. The record is from RefSeq and is a predicted model, not a curated record. The transcript has 3 exons.
CUCUUGUGGAAACCGUUGGCGAGUGAAGAUCAGUUUAGAUCAAUUUUAAAGGUGUUUAAGCCAAAGUUACUCGCGGGUGAUAGCAUUUUUGAACGGUGAACUAUUUCGUUUUCGGUUUGUGGUUCAUUUAAGUAAAAAAGAGUGUCGAGCAAAAAUCGGUUGGAUAUACGGUGCCAAAUCCCAUUCAACGUGGGUGUUUGGGCAGGAAUCCGAGUCCGUACCGUCAGGACACUCGGUCGUCGCUAGGUGGCAAGCAGCCUAUCCACACCCAUUCCGAUUCCGGGGCCUAUAUAGUCCCGUCGAAUCCGCUGUGCGGCCACGCUAGACACGACGAUUGGAACCAGGACCGAACAACGAGUGCGUCGACGCCCUGUGUGACCUUCCUACGGUGGAACCAUAUGCCAGCUGGCCCUCAAGUAAGCCCGUUAGAUUUUGCACUCAUGAGCUCGAAGAAAAUCCCUGUAAAUAUUGUAAAUAGCACAAAGUAAAAGUUAGUUCGUAGUCCUUUAAAGUUUUUGUUUUACACUCUUUCGCCUAUUAAAUCCUUGAAUUAGAAUUGAAUUUGCAUUUUUUUUACUCUGUAGUUUGGGAAUAGUUUUAGAAUUAGUUUUGGGGUUCGUUUCUUGAUUUCUUUCGUUAUACUUUCACUAGUGACCGUGCGUCUCCAUAAAGUGCUCGAAUUUCGUUAGAAAAGGUAAGAGUAAAUUUAAGUGGUUUUUGCUAUUGGUAUAAGUGAAUUUAUUUGAGUUUUAAGGUAAGAAGUUGGGUCUCCGGUAUUGUAAUUGUUCUUUGAGUUAGAGAUUGAUUGGUGAAGUGAACUGGGGAGUUUGGGAAAUCCUACCUGCCCUGACAUAGGAGUCUUUUGGCCGGACUUGAACCGUACCAGUGGCCCUUCGCAAGAAGGUGGCGCUUAAGUCACUGAGUACCAGUAACCGAACCCGUAGUUUUCCUUGCUUUUUGGACCUCGAACUAAGGAGAAGGUUACA